RNAcentral lists this ribosomal RNA (478 nucleotides) under uncultured bacterium. RNAcentral describes it as "partial 16S ribosomal RNA". It matches the Rfam family "Bacterial small subunit ribosomal RNA", at positions 28 to 523 of the family's 1533-position model. The record is from RNAcentral.
GACGAACGCUGGCGGCGUGCUUAACACAUGCAAGUCGAACGGUAAGGCCCUUCGGGGUACACGAGUGGCGAACGGGUGAGUAACCCGUGGGUGAUCUGCCCAGCACUUCGGGAUAAGCCUGGGAAACUGGGUCUAAUACCGGAUAGGACCACUGCCUGCAUGGGGGGUGGUGGAAAGCUUUUGCGGUGUGGGAUGGGCCCGCGGCCGAUCAGCUUGUUGGUGGGGUGAUGGCCUACCAAGGCGACGACGGGGAGCCGGCCUGGGAGGGUGACCGGCCACACUGGGACUGAGAUACGGCCCAGACUCCUACGGGAGGCAGCAGUGGGGAAUAUUGCACAAUGGGCGCAAGCCUGAUGCAGCGACGCCGCGUGAGGGAUGACGGCCUUCGGGUUGUAAACCUCUUUCAGCACCGACGAAGCGCAAGUGACGGUAGGUGCAGAAGAAGGACCGGCCAACUAUGUGCCAGCCGCCGCCGUAA